Molecule: ribosomal RNA, 463 nt
Filed under: uncultured Methanomicrobiales archaeon
Lineage: Archaea; Methanobacteriati; Methanobacteriota; Methanomicrobia; Methanomicrobiales
Description: bacterial SSU rRNA
Rfam family: Archaeal small subunit ribosomal RNA
Source: RNAcentral
CACCACAACAGGUGGAGCCUGCGGUUUAAUCGGACUCAAACGCCGGGAAACUCACCAGAUAAGACAGCUGAAUGAUAGUCGGGCUGAAGACUCUACUUGACUAGCUGAGAGGAGGUGCAUGGCCGUCGUCAGUUCGUACUGUGAAGCAUCCUGUUAAGUCAGGCAACGAGCGAGACCCACGCCAACAGUUGCCAGCUCGUCCUCCGGGAUGGUGGGGACACUGUUGGGACCGCCUCUGCUAAAGAGGAGGAAGGAAUGGGCAACGGUAGGUCAGCAUGCCCCGAAUUAUCUGGGCUACACGCGGGCUACAAUGGGUGGGACAAUGGGUAUCGACACCGAAAGGUGAAGGCAAUCUCCUAAACCCAUCCGUAGUUCGGAUUGUGGGCUGCAACUCGCCCACAUGAAGCUGGAAUCUGUAGUAAUCGUGUCUCAAAAUGGCACGGUGAAUAUGUCCCUGCUCCUU